AUUGAACGCUGGCGGCAGGCCUAACACAUGCAAGUCGAGCGGAUGAAGGGAGCUUGCUCCUGGAUUCAGCGGCGGACGGGUGAGUAAUGCCUAGGAAUCUGCCUGGUAGUGGGGGAUAACGUCCGGAAACGGGCGCUAAUACCGCAUACGUCCUGAGGGAGAAAGUGGGGGAUCUUCGGACCUCACGCUAUCAGAUGAGCCUAGGUCGGAUUAGCUAGUUGGUGGGGUAAAGGCCUACCAAGGCGACGAUCCGUAACUGGUCUGAGAGGAUGAUCAGUCACACUGGAACUGAGACACGGUCCAGACUCCUACGGGAGGCAGCAGUGGGGAAUAUUGGACAAUGGGCGGAAGCCUGAUCCAGCCAUGCCGCGUGUGUGGAGAAGGUCUUCGGAUUGUAAAGCACUUUAAGUUGGGAGGAAGGGCAGUAAGUUAAUACCUUGCUGUUUUGACGUUACCAACAGAAUAAGCACCGGCUAACUUCGUG
RNAcentral lists this ribosomal RNA (484 nucleotides) under uncultured bacterium. RNAcentral describes it as "partial 16S ribosomal RNA". It matches the Rfam family "Bacterial small subunit ribosomal RNA", at positions 30 to 507 of the family's 1533-position model. The record is from RNAcentral.